UACGAAGGGGGCUAGCGUUGCUCGGAAUGACUGGGCGUAAAGGGCGCGUAGGCGGGCUCGCCAGUCAGGGGUGAAAGCCUCCAGCUCAACUGGAGAAGUGCCUUUGAUACUGCGAGUCUCGAGGGAGGUAGGGGCGUGCGGAACUUCCGGUGGAGCGGUGAAAUGCGUAGAUAUCGGAAGGAACACCGGUGGCGAAAGCGGCGCUCUGGUCCUCUUCUGACGCUGAGGCGCGAAAGCCAGGGGAGCAAACGGG
This 253-nucleotide ribosomal RNA is filed under the name uncultured bacterium. RNAcentral's name for it is "partial 16S ribosomal RNA". It matches the Rfam family "Bacterial small subunit ribosomal RNA", at positions 524 to 776 of the family's 1533-position model. The record is from RNAcentral.